ACCAAUACAUCGAAGAGAGUUUUAUUCUGUAACUUAUUUUCUUCUUCUCUUUCUUCUCUUCUGUGUCCUUCAUCUCUUUCUCCCUAUCGAAUCCAAUUAUAAAGGUUUAGAUGAAUCGAGCUUCUUUUUGUGAGUGAUUCAUGUAAAUAUUGAGAUCUAGAUAAAUCUAAGAAGAGGGUGAUGAAUCUGGAAGCUAAUUGAGAAAUGGGUCCUCCUGAAAGAAGAAGAAAUAGAAAUUAGGGUUUCCUCCUGCCAUACUUUUCUUCUUCUUCUGCAACAAACUCCUACCAUAUUUUUCUUCUCCGACGAACCAUGGUUCUUCCUCAUGAAUCAGUUGAGUUGGCGCCAUUAGUUUGAAAAAAGGGUCUCGAUGUUUCACAGAAACAAAAGGGUUUUGUAAGAUUCGAUUUGGAUUGAUUCUCUGUGGGAUUUGUUAUCAACAACAGAAGGUGAUAAAUUCGUCUGCGAGUUAACAUUUAAUUGGAGUCGAAUAUUGCUAGAAUAGCCAACACGCAUUUGCCUGCAUCCAUGUUUCAUAGGGUAGCCAACAAGUUUUAUCUUCAUUAUCGAAGCGGGCGUUAUGGGGUUAUUCUUCCCAAAUUACAAUCAAAUCAGAAAGCGUAUUUUUAAUAAAAUGGAAUCUUUAUUCUGUCUUCGGCUUCAUUUAGUUUACGCUUCUUCUGACCUUCAGCCAUAAAGGUCCUGCAUUAUGAAAUAUGUUGAUUAAGGCACACUGGAGUCAAUAAGGAAAAGGAAUGAUGAACCCUUUUGUGGCAACGGGUCACCCUGAAAGUCAGUUUUCGUAAUUCGGCCAUGAAAUUGCCUGCCUACUUCAAAAGUGUAAGACCCUCCACAAGCAUUCAGAACAAGUGAGAUUGGAGUACAAUACCGCAGUUGCAAUGGACAGUGACUAUCACUGUGGGUGCAGGAUUUAAAACAGCAGGAAGACCAUAUUUAAUGGCGAAGGCAUGGAUUUUUUGCCGACCGAUCAUGCUUCUACAUUUCUUUAACAAUAACGCAAUAGCUAUAGAAACUGAUAAUACAGUAGAAACUCUAUAAAUUAAUGUUGUCGGGACCAUCAAAAUUUAUUAAUUAAGCGAGAUAUUAAUUAACCGAUAAA
This is a long non-coding RNA of Papaver somniferum (opium poppy), 1120 nucleotides long. RefSeq lists it as uncharacterized. Lineage: Eukaryota; Viridiplantae; Streptophyta; Magnoliopsida; Ranunculales; Papaveraceae. The transcript has 6 exons. The record is from RefSeq and is a predicted model, not a curated record.